This 72-nucleotide transfer RNA is filed under the name Ovis aries (sheep). It matches the Rfam family "tRNA". Rfam says of the family: Transfer RNA (tRNA) molecules are approximately 80 nucleotides in length. Their secondary structure includes four short double-helical elements and three loops (D, anti-codon, and T loops). Lineage: Eukaryota; Metazoa; Chordata; Mammalia; Artiodactyla; Bovidae. The record is from Rfam by way of RNAcentral.
UCCUUGAUGGCUCAGAUGGUGAAGAAUCUGCCUGCAAUGCAGGAGACCCAGGUUUGAUCCCUGGAUUAGGAA